Molecule: ribosomal RNA, 468 nt
Filed under: uncultured bacterium
Lineage: Bacteria
Description: partial 16S ribosomal RNA
Rfam family: Bacterial small subunit ribosomal RNA
Source: RNAcentral
GACGAACGCUGGCGGCGUGCUUAACACAUGCAAGUCGAACGGAAAGGCCCUGCUUUUGUGGGGUGCUCGAGUGGCGAACGGGUGAGUAACACGUGAGUAACCUGCCCUUGACUUUGGGAUAACUUCAGGAAACUGGGGCUAAUACCGGAUAGGAGCUCCUGCUGCAUGGUGGGGGUGGGAAAGUUUCGGCGGUUGGGGAUGGACUCGCGGCCUAUCAGCUUGUUGGUGGGGUAGUGGCUUACCAAGGCUUUGACGGGUAGCCGGCCUGAGAGGGUGACCGGCCACAUUGGGACUGAGAUACGGCCCAGACUCCUACGGGAGGCAGCAGUGGGGAAUAUUGCACAAUGGGCGGAAGCCUGAUGCAGCAACGCCGCGUGCGGGAUGACGGCCUUCGGGUUGUAAACCGCUUUCGCCUGUGACGAAGCGUGAGUGACGGUAAUGGGUAAAGAAGCACCGGCUAACUACGUG